CCUUUGUAUGAGAAAGACYGAGAGUGCUGGACCUGUUCAAGAUUCCUGCUUGUAAGCAUCUGAUCAGUUCGUAUGAAGGACAUGCUGCAAUCAAGUUGUCACAAAAAAAGAGAGUAAAACAAAAAGAUGAGAAGUAAACUCAGCUGGAAGGUGACUCAUGGCA
Molecule: long non-coding RNA, 163 nt
Organism: Nothoprocta perdicaria
Lineage: Eukaryota; Metazoa; Chordata; Aves; Tinamiformes; Tinamidae
Exons: 3
Source: RefSeq, a predicted model, not a curated record